GCUUGGUUUUCAACUCUAUACUUUAUUCUCCAAUCUCUUUGCAAUUAUUCAUUUUAAAAGUUCUCAAGUAGUUUUUAUUAGUUUUUUUUCAAAAGUUUUAACUCUAACCAGUGGGAGUGAUAAACUAGGGGGCUUACUUAAUCAUGGCUGGCACCAUACAUUACAUGUAUUUAUUUUUAAGGGAUAAAACAUCCUUGUAUUCCUGGGAACCUGAUCUUGAAGUUCAUUCUUUUCAUAUAAUGCUAGAUUUGAUUGCUAAUAAUUUCUUCAUGACUUUUACAUCUAUUUCACAUGACUGUUCAGAAUACACAUGAUCUUUCUGAAGUACAACUAAUAUUCUCUUGGAAUGGGUUGUGGUUGUCAGUGUCUGCUCCACAACCAGUUUGGCCCAGUUCUUACCCCUCAAGGUCUCUCUCCACAAUCCCACACCCAAAUGUACCCAGCGCUGUUGGGGUCCUUGACCGGAUGCGACCAGCAUGGGGUACUUGUGGAGGUUUGCGGUGUAAGAAGGCUUCAGGGAAUGGUCAGUGGAAUCUGAAGCUGGGGGUUAGCCACUGAGGGCUUCUGUGGUCUGGAUUGGAGCAUCCUCAGCGUCGAGUGGAAGUCGGUGUCUGGGGAACCAGGAAAAGCGAGCAAGCGAUGCGGAGUUGGGGGCCAUUAUGGCUAUCGGUGAUGGGAAGGGCUGGGGAAGGAGGUACUUCAUUGCUUCAGAUGCCAGGGAUUUGGGUGCUGUACUAAGUACCCAACCAUAUUUCCCAACAUUUCAUACUGAAACCUUUCAAGUACACUGAAGGAAUAGCAACAUGGUGGUCACCUGUGUACCCAUCACCUAGAUUCAGCAAUUAUUAAAAUUGUGUCAUAAAUACUUGGUAUAUGUGUAUGGGUAUGUGUGUGUAAUUUCUUCUUAUUAUUAUUAUGUUUAAUCAUUAGAGAAAGAGUCUUGCUCUGUCACCCAGGCUGGAGUGCAGAGGGGUGAUCAUAGCUUACUGCAGCCUCAACCUCCUGGGCUCAAGUGAUCCUCCUGUCUCGGCCUGCUGAGUAACUAGGACUAAAGGCAUGCUCAACCACGCCUGGCUAACAUAAUUUAUUUCUUGAUGAAUCCUUUGAAAUAACAUUUUAGUCCUGAUUCUUUAUGCCGAUUUUGCUAUUUACUGUCUGCAUGACUUUGGGCAAGGUAUUGAAAUGCUGUAAGUUUUACUGUUAGGAAAAAAUGAUGGUAUCUCCUUUGCAAAUUUCUUUUGAAGAUUAUUGGAAUGGUGUGCCUGAAAUGCUAGCAAAGUGCCUGGUUUAUAGUAGAUAAUUGAGAAAUGUUCUUUUAUUAUUAUUCAAAUAUAUACCUUUCUGUGGCAAUUUUAAUUAUCUAAUUAACUUUUCCUUUUCUGCUUUCAUAUAGUUCGUUUUCCUAUAUGAAUUUAUCUUUGAGUACAUAUUUGAAAACUUCUGAGGAUUUUAAAUAAAGAUCUCCUUACAACAAUUAUUUAUUACAAAAAUUGUUACAUGCUUGUAAAUAAAAAACCAGGCAGUAAUAGUAAAAGCAUCUACAAUUUACCAUCUAUACCAAACUUAUCUUUUGUACUAUGUUAUUAAAUUGAACUGCAUAGUAUGGAUAUUUCAUUUUCUUAAAUACAUAAAGCAGAUCAGGUUAAACGCAUAUUUAAACUUUUAAAUUAAAUUUAAAAUUAAAUUCUAUUUAAUUUAAUAUAAAUUUAUAUAUAUUUAUGUUUAUACUUAUAUAUAAAUAUUUAUAUAAUUAUAUAAUAAAUAUAAAAAUUUAGUUUCUUUUUUUAACCCUCUUAUACCAGGGAGAAUGGCUAUUUUAAAAAAAAAUUUUUUAUUAUACUUUAAGUUCUAGGGUACAUGUGCACAACGAAUAAUUUAGUUUCUAAUUAAACAUUUAAAUGCAUAUUUAACCAUUGGCUUUUUUUGCUUAAUAAAGGUAAUGUUUGAUA
RNAcentral lists this long non-coding RNA (1949 nucleotides) under Homo sapiens (human). Its description in RNAcentral is "HSALNT0398598". Lineage: Eukaryota; Metazoa; Chordata; Mammalia; Primates; Hominidae. The record is from RNAcentral.